RNAcentral lists this ribosomal RNA (460 nucleotides) under uncultured bacterium. Its description in RNAcentral is "partial 16S ribosomal RNA". It matches the Rfam family "Bacterial small subunit ribosomal RNA", at positions 338 to 795 of the family's 1533-position model. The record is from RNAcentral.
CCUACGGGUGACAGCAGUGAGGAAUAUUGGUCAAUGGACGAGAGUCUGAACCAGCCAAGUAGCGUGAAGGAUGACUGACCUAUGGGUUGUAAACUUCUUUUAUAAAGGAAUAAAACGAGGCACGUGUGCCUUUUUGCAUGUACUUUAUGAAUAAGGAUCGGCUAACUCCGUGCCAGCAGCAGCGGUAAUACGGAGGAUCCGAGCGUUAUCCGGAUUUAGUGGGUUUAAAGGGAGCGUAGAUGGGUUGUUAAGUCAGUUGUGAAAGUUUGCGGCUAAACCGUAAAAUUGCAAUUGAAACUGGCAGUCUUGAGUACAGUUGAGGUAGGCGGAAUUCGUGGUGUAGCGGUGAAAUGCUUAGAUAUCACGAAGAACCCCGAUUGCGGAGGCAGCUUACUAAACUGUGACUGACAUUGAUGCUCGAAAGUGUGGGUAUCAAACAGGAUUAGAUACCCCUGUAGUC